AAGCAUAUUAUUAAGCGGAGGAAAAGAAACUAACCAGGAUUCCCCUAGUAAGGGCGACUGAAGCGGGAAGAGCUCAAGAUGUGAAUCAGCGCUUCGGCGUUGAAUUGUGGUCUAUAGAUGGUAUCACUACCAGCCGGGCCAAGUCUCUUGGAAAAGGGCAGCUUAGAGGGUGAAACUCCCGUGCGCCUGGCAGGAUGAGAUACCAUUCAACGAGUCGAGUUGUUUGGGAUUGCAGCUCAAAGUGGGUGGUAAAUUCCAUCUAAAGCUAAAUACUGGUGGGAGACCGAUAGCGUACAAGUACCGUGAGGGAAAGAUGCAAAGAACUUUGAAAAGAGAGUUAAAGAGUACCUGAAAUCGCUGAAAGGGAAGCGAAGGAAACCAGUGCAGACCAAGUCAUACUUCCCUGGCCGCGUGCGGCUUGGGCGCUGUGGCUUGGUUGGUGUCUUGUUUGGUUGGAACUUUUGGAAGAGCCUUGGAGGGAGUUGCCCUUCUCUGCUGCCACUGGUCUCAACUGAGACAGACAAAAUGGUUUUCUUUUUCCCGUCUUG
RNAcentral lists this ribosomal RNA (548 nucleotides) under Hantzschia amphioxys. RNAcentral's name for it is "partial 28S ribosomal RNA". It matches the Rfam family "Eukaryotic large subunit ribosomal RNA", at positions 36 to 656 of the family's 3401-position model. The record is from RNAcentral. Lineage: Eukaryota; Bacillariophyta; Bacillariophyceae; Bacillariales; Bacillariaceae.